Small nucleolar RNA from Alnus glutinosa, 84 nucleotides. RefSeq annotates it as small nucleolar RNA R32/R81/Z41. The transcript has a single exon. The record is from RefSeq and is a predicted model, not a curated record. Lineage: Eukaryota; Viridiplantae; Streptophyta; Magnoliopsida; Fagales; Betulaceae.
UUAUGGACAUGAUGAAAGUGAUUGACGGGUGAUGAUCAACUCAUGUGAUCAAGAUAUCCUCGCUACGUUCUUUUUGAUUCCUGC